GCGCGGCGUGGGUUCUGCGUACUGCGCGAUCCUCGGCGAGGCGGGGAUCCGGCACCUGGGGUCUAGGCAAGCUGCCGCCGCCAUGAGCGCCGUGGACCUUGCCCGGGUGGGCGCGUGUGUCGUGAAGCACGCGGUGACCGGGGAGCCGGUGGAGCUGCGCAGCCUGUGGCAGGAGCAGGCGUGCGUGGUGGCCGGGCUGCGGCGCUUCGGCUGUAUGGUGUGUCGCUGGAUCGCACGCGACCUCAGCGGCCUCCUCGGGCUCCUGGACCAACACGGCGUGCGCCUGGUGGGCGUGGGCCCCGAGGCCCUGGGCCUGCAGGAGUUCCUGGACGGCGGCUACUUCUCUGGCGAGCUCUACCUGGACGAGAGCAAGCAACUCUACAAGGAGCUGGGCUUCAAGCGGCCAAGGCUGUUGGUAUCCAGGGGAACCUGUCUGGGGACUUGCUGCAGAGUGGAGGGCUGCUGGUGGUCAGCAAAGGUGGUGAUAAAGUGCUGCUGCACUUCGUCCAGAAGUCCCCGGGUGACUAUGUCCCCCGGGAGAGCAUCCUGCAGGCCCUGGGCAUCUCCUCAGAGGUUGGCACUAGCGAGCCGCCCCAGUGUGACGAGGAGCUGUGUGGGAGGUGACAGCCCGGCCCCCGUGCACCUGGAAGGCGUCUGCUGCCCAGAGAAUGCUGGGUGCUCGACUGGAACAAGGGCCACGAUGCUGGGCCUUGCCUCAUUCUUGGGCAGCACUGAGCCAUUAAAACUGCUGUUCCUGGGUGCCACUUUUCUUCACUGGCCAUGCACUGUGGAUCCUACAGCUCCCACCUCAUCCACUGUUGGUCCCAAGGGGCGCCCUGGGGGUGCAAGAGGUCAUCAUCCCACCAUGAAGAAAACGAGGUUGUCACCUUUGAAGCGUUUAUUUGGCCCAGUCUGAAACUUGAAGACACUGAGGACAGGCAUGAGGGGCAGAAGACAGUUGACUGUGUCUCCGGGCUAUGGGUCCUCCAGCCCAGCAUCUAGGGCUCACAGUUCUGGACCAGGGACUGAGCCCUGAAGAACCUUGCCAUGCUCCAGGGGUGCCCAGAGACGGAGGGUACAGUGGUUUCCUCGCCACCCCAAGGUCAGGGCUUGGAAUCUCGGGUCACAGAGACAUUGUGGCUCUGGAGGCCUCCUGUGAUGGCCGAAGUUUCUACACCCAGGAGAGGGAGCACAUGGCCCUGGGACACAGGGCUGGGUCCCGAACGUGGUGGUAGGGCAGCCCCUCCCAGGGGUGGAGGUGGACUAGGGCCAGGAAGGGGAAAUGAGCACAGUCAGGGGACUCUGGGGGGCAGAAUCCAGUCUUUGUGCCCUUGUGUCCCCAUGCCCACAGCAGUUCUCUGCACAGGGCCUGGGCUGCAGCUCCCUGGGGACCCCUGCAUGCUGGCCCCUGUCCCCCUAAGCCAUGAAGAGGCUGGGGCACGUGUGGCUGCAGGUGCAGCUCUGAUCUGGGCCGCCCCCGGCACCCCUUUACCAUUGUCAUCAAAGCCAUGCGUGAUUUCAUGCCCGAUCACCAUCCCAAUGCCCCCGAAGUUCAAGGCCUGUGGCUGCUCCUUGCUGAAAAACGGUGGUUGGAGGAUCCCGGCGGGGAACACUGCCAAGGGGCAAAGAAUCAGCUGGGAGUGGGUGCACUUGUGUGCCUGGCUCAGGCAGGCCUCUCCAGGAGUCCAGUCAUCUAAUCUGGACUGGGGGUAGAUGGCAAGACCCCACCCCACAUACAGAUGGCAAAACUGAGGCCCAGAGGCCAAGAGGGCAGGCUAGCGUGUGGCAGCCCCGUGAGCCUCGUCCAGCUUCUUCCUACCCCUCUGUGCUGGCCUCAGGAACAGCUCCUCUGCUGUACUCGGUCCCUCCCCACAGGCACAGGAGGGCACCCAAGGGACGGGCAGUGGGGCAGCUGGCUCCAGGAGGGGUGGGGUGUGAGCCUACCGAUCUGGUUUCGGUUCGGGGAGUAGAACGCGUUGACCACUGCGGCCCCAAUGAUCCAGCUGCGGUGCAUACAGUGGUCACCUGGAGCCCGCACCUCCCGGGACACUCCCUCCAUGCCGCGCUGCCUGGUGUCGCAGUGGCCACUCCAGAGCAGGUCCUGUGCCAUUCCCAGUCUCUGGGGACCCCGUGGGAGGCGGCUCCAGCCCACGGAGGCAGAGGGUACGGGGGACUGUCACGGCCCCACACCCUCCCCAGCCAGCCACGAGGCUGCCCCUGCCACGCCGUUCACACCACUCACAGAUUCUGGUCCACCUUUUUCCGAAGC
Non-coding RNA from Heterocephalus glaber (naked mole-rat), 2269 nucleotides. Lineage: Eukaryota; Metazoa; Chordata; Mammalia; Rodentia; Bathyergidae. The record is from RefSeq and is a predicted model, not a curated record.